UCGAGGUGUAAAUAAUACAGUUAGGGGAACCAAAUUUGAGCUCCGCCAUUGGUAUCAGAGGACUUAGCAAUGAUGUAAAAUAAACCAUUCAAAUGGCCCAGACAGGAACCGACACAAGUACACAAAGGCAUCAAGGCACACCCAAAAGCC
This is a long non-coding RNA of Malania oleifera, 150 nucleotides long. RefSeq lists it as uncharacterized. NCBI's taxonomy places the organism in Eukaryota, Viridiplantae, Streptophyta, Magnoliopsida, Santalales, Ximeniaceae. The record is from RefSeq and is a predicted model, not a curated record. The transcript has 3 exons.